This 468-nucleotide ribosomal RNA is filed under the name uncultured bacterium. RNAcentral's name for it is "partial 16S ribosomal RNA". It matches the Rfam family "Bacterial small subunit ribosomal RNA", at positions 29 to 507 of the family's 1533-position model. The record is from RNAcentral.
ACGAACGCUGGCGGCGUGCUUAACACAUGCAAGUCGAACGGAAAGGCCCUGCUUGCAGGGUGCUCGAGUGGCGAACGGGUGAGUAACACGUGGGUGAUCUGCCCCUUACUUUGGGAUAAGCCUGGGAAACUGGGUCUAAUACUGGAUAGGACCAUGCUGUAGGUGGUGUGGUGGAAAGAUUAGUUUCGGUAAGGGAUGAGCUCGCGGCCUAUCAGCUUGUUGGUGGGGUAAUGGCCUACCAAGGCGUCGACGGGUAGCCGGCCUGAGAGGGUGGACGGCCACAUUGGGACUGAGAUACGGCCCAGACUCCUACGGGAGGCAGCAGAGGGGAAUAUUGCACAAUGGGCGCAAGCCUGAUGCAGCGACGCCGCGUGGGGGAUGACGGCCUUCGGGUUGUAAACUCCUUGCAGCCAUGACGAAGCCCUUGUGGUGACGGUAGUGGUAGAAGAAGCACCGGCUAACUACGUG